Long non-coding RNA from Canis lupus familiaris (dog), 567 nucleotides. RefSeq lists it as uncharacterized. The record is from RefSeq and is a predicted model, not a curated record. The transcript has 3 exons. NCBI's taxonomy places the organism in Eukaryota, Metazoa, Chordata, Mammalia, Carnivora, Canidae.
GAAGGCAGGGAUCCUAUAUCAUUUGUAUCAUUUGUAUGUACUUCCUAGCAGAGUGCCCAGCACAGAGUGAGUGUUUAAUUGGGGGCUGUGGUGCUCUAGUUGCACAAAGAAGUCAAUAUGAUUCCAAACCUGACCAUGUACAAGCUCACAGGAAACUGCCACUCUUUAAAGAAGUUAUAUGACCUAAGACAGGGCAACUGAACUGGGCUAAGAACUGGAAGCAGUACCUUGAAUACAAAAACAACUUUGUAGAUCAGGAAAAAUAAAAGCAUGCCAUGAAAACUUACAAUGGCACUAAAGAUCUAGGUAAUUGCAUUAGUGCUGGCUUCCCAAUGCACAGGAAUUUCCGGACCUAUUUUGCUGCCUGCUGCUUUCAGGGAGGAGGGGCAGUCUGCUCAGAAUUCUAACACCCAGCCUGCUGACUGGGCAGAUGUUCCCAGAAGUGUUAGAAGAAGAAUGUGCUGGCCAGAAAUAUCCCUUGAAUCUAUGAGGGAGAAAUUCAUAAAACUGUAUGGAUCAUGAUCUUCUACAAACAUUUCACUGCCUUUUUUUCUCUCACACCCAGAC